AUGCCUAGGUGGUGUGGUGUGCAAGUCGUAAUGAGAGUAUCUAUCUAUCAAUCUAGUACCCCGUCCCUUUACUACCAAAAAAGAAGAGGGAAGAAAUUCAAUGGACAGACACAGGCCUCCGUCCAGCCAACGGGAAACAGCUACGACGCGUAUGGAAUUGACAGGAUGAUGGAAAGAGGUCUGGGUUUUGUUUUCUAUUUCCUGUCUCCUCUCCUCUCCUCUAUCCCCACUGCUAUCUUCGCUUUCAUAAAUAAAUCCCUAGGGCUGUUUUUUGUGUUGCGUGAUGGCGAGGGGGGGUGGGGUGGGGGGGACAAAUAUCCUGUUGCCGUUCGUGAGAUAUGCAAAAAAUGUGAACGCAUUCUAUUUUGA
RNAcentral lists this ribosomal RNA (369 nucleotides) under Triticum aestivum (bread wheat). RNAcentral describes it as "partial small subunit ribosomal RNA". The record is from RNAcentral. Lineage: Eukaryota; Viridiplantae; Streptophyta; Magnoliopsida; Poales; Poaceae.